This 794-nucleotide ribosomal RNA is filed under the name Beaucarnea hookeri. RNAcentral describes it as "eukaryotic LSU rRNA". The stretch from base 344 to 499 matches the Rfam family "5.8S ribosomal RNA". Lineage: Eukaryota; Viridiplantae; Streptophyta; Magnoliopsida; Asparagales; Asparagaceae. The record is from RNAcentral.
CCGCGACGUCGCGAGAAGUCCACUGAACCUUAUCAUUUAGAGGAAGGAGAAGUCGUAACAAGGUUUCCGUAGGUGAACCUGCGGAAGGAUCAUUGUCGAGACCCGAAUGGACGAUUGUGAACCCGUCGAUGCUUCGGUGAGGGGCGGAGGGAGGACGGCACCCGCUCGCCCGACCCCGUCACCCCGGAUGCCCCAUGGCCGCCCUCGCCCUGCCUCGCAGCGGGACGGGCGGCGGGAACAAGACCCGGCGCGGUGGGCGCCAAGGAAUAGUGAUGUCGGAGAGCGCCGCGCGUCGGUUUUGUACGUGCGGCGUGACCCUUCCAUACAUACGUCAAACUUUUAUGACUCUCGGCAACGGAUAUCUUGGCUCUCGCAUCGAUGAAGAACGUAGCGAAAUGCGAUACUUGGUGUGAAUUGCAGAAUCCCGUGAACCAUCGAGUUUUUGAACGCAAGUUGCGCCCGAGGCCAUCCGGCCGAGGGCACGCCUGCUUGGGCGUCACGCCUCGCGUCGCUCCGCACACCCCUGCCCCCCAUACUGGGAGGUGGCGGGCGCGGAUGCGGAGACUGGCCCCCCGUGCCUCGCGGUGCGGCGGGCUGAAGUGAGGGCCGCCGGUCGGGACGGAUGCGGCGAGUGGUGGACGGACACGAACGGCGCUCGGCGUUGCCUCCGCCCCCCGAUCCUAGCGGUCCAUCAAGGAACCCAUGCCGUCGGGCGAGCGUGCCCCUCGGAACACGACCCCAGGUCAGGCGGGGCCACCCGCUGAGCUUAAGCAUAUCAAUAAGCGGAGGAGAAG